UGCGUAGGCGGUUGGGUAAGUCAGAGGUGAAAUUCCGGGGCUCAACCUCGGAACUGCCUUUGAUACUGCCUGACUAGAGUACUGGAGAGGAGGCUGGAAUUCACGGUGUAGCAGUGAAAUGCGUAGAUAUCGUGAGGAAGACCAGUGGCGAAGGCGAGUCUCUGGACAGUUACUGACGCUGAGGCACGAAGGCUAGGGGAGCAAACG
RNAcentral lists this ribosomal RNA (207 nucleotides) under uncultured bacterium. RNAcentral's name for it is "partial 16S ribosomal RNA". It matches the Rfam family "Bacterial small subunit ribosomal RNA", at positions 568 to 774 of the family's 1533-position model. The record is from RNAcentral.